Folsomia candida is the source of this 1642-nucleotide long non-coding RNA. RefSeq lists it as uncharacterized. NCBI's taxonomy places the organism in Eukaryota, Metazoa, Arthropoda, Collembola, Entomobryomorpha, Isotomidae. The transcript has 8 exons. The record is from RefSeq and is a predicted model, not a curated record.
GAAAAAUCAUCUCCAGCAAAGCAAAGUUUUUUUUUGACAUUGAAAAAACAGUUAUUUUAAUUUCAAGAUGUAAUAAAAAUUUGAAAAUUUUAUAAAUUCAUAAAUGGGGAGGGGAAAGGUUGGAAUGGAAGGAGGUCAAAGAAACGACGGGGCAGAGAAGAGGACCAAGAGUUUCAUUACGAGGAAGAAUUUGAUAAGACAAGAUGACGAUUCGGUUCAAGGGCAGUUACACCCACAAAAAGACGAGAAUCUACUACUUUGAGCCCGGAUUCUGCCCCCCAUUUGGAAAGAGUUCGAGAAGCAGAACAACUAGAACAAGGCCACGCUGAACUUGACGGUGCCCCUCGACGGGAAAAGAAAUGCCUACACGGCAGGACGACGUACGUAAUUUUCCGAAGGGGGAUGCUUACACCGUCACAAUGGAGAUGGAGAUGACGACCCUGAUGAGAGGAGGAUGAGGAGUUUCAAGGUCGAGAUGAAAAUGGUCGGCCAAAUCUUGACCAGCUCGAUCAUCGAGUUUCUUCGAUCUGGAAAUGGGGAAGCCUCUCGUUCAGACGCAAGACGUUGUUCUCGACGUGGCCCUUCGUCACGCCCCGCAUUGCACUACAUUUCCUGCAAUCGGAGAUUUUUCAAUCAAUUCCCCAUCCCCUUUGGACUAGAUGCCCGUCACGGGCAUUAUCAGUCCCUCUGUCUCGGGUCGGAGGAAACCGCCAUCAGCGUUUACGGUUCACGUCAAGGGUCACUUUAGUAUGGACAUUGUAUACGAGUCUGAAAGCGGGGUCGUCCCUUCCAAGGAACUUUUAUCGGGGGACAUGUAAAGCGAAAUGUUGCAAUCGUACAGGGACCGGUUUUCCGACAAGUUCGAAACUACCUUUCACCUGGAAAAGAAAGGCUUCAAGAAAACCUCGAUUCACUUUGCCAAAGCUGCCCUUAGCAAUCUCAUCGGAGGGAUUGGUUACUUCCACGGCCAUCCGAAAGUCCAGCGGCCUUACAACUCUGCCCCCGUGCCGUACUGGACGUCCAAUCUGUACACGGCCGUCCCCUCGAGAAGCUUCUUCCCCCGCGGGUUCCUCUGGGACGAGGGCUUCCAUCUCUUCCUCAUCAACAAGUGGAACCCUGAAAUCUCCAUCGACAUCAAUUCCCACUGGCUCGACAUGAUGAACACGGAACUUCACGGAAGGCUGGAUCCCCCGAGAACAGAUUCUUGUCCCGAGUCCCGGUGGAGUUUGUCGUCCAACGGAACGACGUCGCCAAUCCUCCCACGCUCAUCAUGGGGCUGUUCGACCUCAUUCAACGCCACCGCGAAUGGCUCCUGAUCAAUCAUAAGGCCACCUUGCAGCGAAUGUGGCCCCGUUUAUCGACCUGGUACCAGUGGCUGAAUAAGACCCAGCUGGGAGAGAUGCCCUUCACUUAUCGAUUGGUCAAGCUCGUUUCCGAGCUCGGGAAGUCCUAUUUCGACCUUAUUUGAGCGGAGGAGAGUGUGAAGCUAUGCAUGAAGUUUUGCUGUUUUCCAUACAAAAGUCGGACAUGGAUUUGAGGAAAAUUAUCUUUCAAAAUAUCGUGCUAUCCGGUGGCUCGACUUUAUUUAAAGGUUUUGGUGUCUGAAGUGAGAAAACAAGCACCAAAGGAUAUCAAAAUCAAG